UUUCCGUAGGUGAACCUGCGGAAGGAUCAUUCAUAAUAAGUGUUUUAUGGCACUUUUUUAAAUCCAUAUCCACCUUGUGUGCAAUGUCAGGGUUGAUUUUUCUCUCGAGAGGUUCAGCCCCAAACAUCAACUAUAUCUCAACUCUUUGUCUGAAAAAUAUUAUGAAUAAAACAAUUCAAAAUACAACUCUCAACAACGGAUCUCUUGGCUCUC
Molecule: unclassified non-coding RNA, 213 nt
Filed under: plant metagenome
Description: partial contains small subunit ribosomal RNA, internal transcribed spacer 1, and 5.8S ribosomal RNA
Source: RNAcentral